RNAcentral lists this ribosomal RNA (254 nucleotides) under uncultured bacterium. RNAcentral describes it as "partial 16S ribosomal RNA". It matches the Rfam family "Bacterial small subunit ribosomal RNA", at positions 524 to 776 of the family's 1533-position model. The record is from RNAcentral.
UACGUAGGGUGCAAGCGUUGUCCGGAAUUAUUGGGCGUAAAGAGCUCGUAGGCGGUCUGUCACGUCGGCUGUGAAAACCCGGAGCUCAACUCCGGGCCUGCAGUCGAUACGGGCAUCACUGGAGUUCGGCAGGGGAGACUGGAAUUCCUGGUGUAGCGGUGAAAUGCGCAGAUAUCAGGAGGAACACCGGUGGCGAAGGCGGGUCUCUGGGCCGAUACUGACGCUGAGGAGCGAAAGCGUGGGGAGCGAACAGG